CUCCAUGUGCAAUAUACCAAAUAUCGAGCGGAAGAGGGUUCCAAGCAGGGUAGAGAGAGAAGCUCUUUCUUCUCUCUAGGAAACCCCCCCUCUGUCCUUUCUGCCUUCUCUUCCCCGUCAUUCUCCUGCACCCACCACUACCCACCACCCUUGCGGCCCACCUACUCUUGUUGAAAGUUUAGAUCUGAUCUGGAUGGGGUUUUGGAUGUGCUGCAGAAUGUUUCGGUUUGACCCCUCCAUUUUCCAUUUCUGCCUCUUUUUUCUUAUCCGGCCCUCCCAACUCCCCCUCCCUCCCUUCCUUCGGCCCACCAUCCCUCCCACUUCUUCCGGUCACCACUCUAACCUUGCCUAGGUGCUGUUAUAGCAUUUCCGGCGGCUAUAGCGUGGACCUUUUCGAACUUCCUUUUUUUUAUCUGAGCUUUGCCAAGUCCGAGGGUUUUCUAGAUUGUGGGUCUUUCCUGUGUGAUUAGUAGAGGGCUUCGUUCUUGUGGUGCAAAAAGUGGAGUCAUGAUCUGAAGUGGUGGGUUAUGGGUUCGGGGUUCUGGAUCUUGAUGAGAAAUUUGAGUCUUUGGCUCCGGCGAUUAUGGUUCUAUGGUUCUGGGCUCGGCAAAAGGAGGCUCUUGUAUCAGCCGGCCCCUCUUCCCUAUUCUGGAUUUGGGUUGUAUUGCUAAUCUCUAAAUGUUUCAAUUUUAGGUUGGUUUAUGAGGUUGUGAUGGGUUGUUUUUUCUUUCCAUUAAUUGAUUUGUUAUGCAUUAAUGUUCAUUUUUCGGUCAAUUAUUGGUGUUGCUUAUGAUAGCUAUGGCUUGUCUUUGCUUGGCUGACUCAUGGCGUUUCUCCUCGUUGAUUCUUUUUGCUUGUUUUGUCUUUUUUUCUGGAAUCAUUUGGGAGUUCUGAUUUGUUUUAGUCAUUGAUGAAUUCCGUUCUGGGCUCCUUGUCAAUUCGGUAUAUCUCUUGGCUGGUGUUUGUGUUUGAUUUGAAAUCCCAUGUGCUUAUGGUUUUCCGGUGGGCUACUGUUUUGCCGGAGGAAUUUGGGAGACAAAUCAGAGGAAAAUUGCUGAUAUUCACGUGACUGUGUUGUUGCCAGCUGGUUAAUGGGUCCCAUUUCACUUGGGUUGUUUAAAUUUCAAAUUUAACCAGCUGAUUUCAUUUGGGCACAUCAGCUUUUUGCCUACCUUCACGUGGGAUGGAAUUGAUGAUGUCUGCUAUGUCCUUGACAUGUUAACAAAUGGAUCCAUUGAAGACUAACCGUGAGGGUCUUGGGCCCACGGUUUGGGCUGUUAUAUACCUAUGAUCUGUUUGGCUUUUAAACUAAUUUUUUUUAGUUGUUUCUUUUGCCUAACCUCGGGUUGUGAGGAAAAUGUAAUUUAGGUUAGGUAUUUUGUUUCCUAGGUUGCUAGGUAUUUUUAGUCCCCUUGGGAGAAGGGGACUAUGCUCUGUUCUUCAUUGUAAUAUCCAAAAGUUUUUUGCAAUGUUAAUAUACAAAUAAAAAU
This 1490-nucleotide long non-coding RNA is filed under the name Panax ginseng (ginseng). Its description in RNAcentral is "long non-coding RNA (PGIN_LNC015411)". The record is from RNAcentral. Lineage: Eukaryota; Viridiplantae; Streptophyta; Magnoliopsida; Apiales; Araliaceae.